UACUUGAAACAUCGUGACGCAAUCACAGCAUCUCCUAAAUCUUAACUAAUCCCAGUCCAGGCCUUGGCCCCGACUUCCGGCUUUGCGUUGCUAGGUGACGCGACGUCACUCUGGAAUACUAACUCGCUUCCUGUGUGGGAGUUGUGCUGCUAGCGGUGCCGGCAAGAUGAGCGCUAUGUUUGCAGAUACCAUUCCGAUCGUGUUUAUAUCAGUGUGCACAGCGCUGCUGGCUGAGGUGGAAAAGAAAGAGGAAUCCAUAACAGAAUCUGCUGGACGCACUCAAGAAAAUUGCUAAUUCAAGUUAUAGUUCAAUAGGGGGUGCAGAUUGAAAAUAACGCCAGGAAGAGAAACUCAAGAACAAUAACCGAGAUCUCUCCAUGGUGAGAAGGGAAACGUGAAACAGUGAUGAUCCUGAUGCAAGUAUAAAAAUAAUGCCCAGUACUUCCAUACAAGUCUGAAAGACUCUUUAGCUGCUCACACAUGCAGACUUACGGUAUGAAGAUCCAAAUUACGGAAAGAUCCGUUAUCAAGAAAACCCCAGUUCCCGAGCUUUCUGAAUAACAGAUUUGAUGGGCGGGUUGUAGCCAAGCUUCCCUUUGUGCCUCUAUCGUAUAUUCAGGGGCUGUCGUACAGAAACCUCAUUGGGGAAGAUUACACCGAGUGCUCGUUUAUCUUCUUGUACAUACUGUGCACCAUGUCCAUCCGACAGCUUUAGUUCCACUUGAAUAAAACUGAGACCUCCGGUAAUCCCCUGCAUAAUGGACUUCUGAUAUACUGCCUAUGUCUCCAUCUUGUUAUAACAUUCUGUACGUUGGGGAGAGUGCUUCCCAUACAAGCCGGGAGACCAAACGGAAUCCGUUAUCCCCAUGGAGCCCCAGUAGGACCCUAGCAACAAAAUAUCCAGAAGCUGCUGGGACUUGCUCCACCCCGUGCUGCUACCAAACUAGCAGGGGGAUUUCUCGGCCCCCCCACCCCAGGCUGGAAAAUUCUCUUAGGUCUUCUAGGAAUGCUUUGUCCUGAUGGAUCUUCACUGCCAUCUGUCACUCAUCUAAAGACUGAAAGAAGGACUCCAAUAGUGAAGCUGAUUCCACACGUGCUAUUUAUAGAGCAGUCUUCCUCAGACUUUUAACCCCUUUACUUGCAGGGGACUUUAACACACACAUCUCAAUGCAACAGUCAAGUCACACCCAGUUGUGUGUUUUUACGUUUUUUUUCUCUUAAAAUGGUCUAAUUUAUAUAUUGAUGAGUUUUGAACACAAGUAUGUUACAUGAUAUAUCAGAUAAUAAAAGUUCCAAUUCCAAACUAUGUUACUGGGGAUAAAGUCAAAUCUGCACGGGGAGGCACAUUUAUCAAGGGUCGAAUUUCGAAUUCAUAGGAGUUCUUUAAAACUCCCAUAAAUUCGAAAUUUAUUAAUAAAAUAUUUUUUUAAAACUCUGUUGAAUUGAAACAACCCGAAAACUCGAAUCGAAUUUGAUUGGAAUUUAAAUGCCUAUUUGAAUUUAAAAAAAAAACUCUUCUGGCAGGAAGACUGUAAACAUCACCAAACUGAUCCCCUGUCCCAUUGACUUACACAGUAAUUUGGCAGGUUUUAGUUGGUGAAUAGUUGAAUAAGUUUUUAAAGGGCCCAGAGUAUGAUAAAUCUCAAAAUUCAAAUUAAAACUCGAAUCAAGUUUGGAUAAUUUAUCAUUUGAAUGAGAGUUUUGACCAAAAAAAAAUUUUCAUUUCAACCCAUAAAUUUCGAUAUGUCUGAGAGUUAUUGUGUUAUAAUGCAAUGGGCACAGGGCCUGUAGUUCUAGUGCUGUCACUAAACUGUCUCUGUGCCUCACUAUGAAUUAAUUCCCUGUUAUCAGUCAAUGAAUCAUAUGGUAUUUAUGUGAAAUACAUCAACUCUACAUGAAAAAUAAAUCUUGUUUUACAAUUA
Molecule: long non-coding RNA, 1922 nt
Organism: Xenopus laevis (African clawed frog)
Lineage: Eukaryota; Metazoa; Chordata; Amphibia; Anura; Pipidae
Exons: 7
Source: RefSeq, a predicted model, not a curated record